AAGCUUGACGGUACCCAAGAAGAAAGCCCCGGCUAACUACGUGCCAGCAGCCGCGGUAAUACGUAGGGGGCGAGCGUUGUCCGGAAUUACUGGGCGUAAAGGGUGCGUAGGCGGCCCUUUAAGUCGGAUGUGAAAGCCCGCGGCUUAACCGCGGAAUGGCAUUCGAAACUGGAGGGCUUGAGUGUCGGAGAGGGUAGUGGAAUUCCCAGUGUAGCGGUGAAAUGMGUAGAUAUUGGGAGGAACACCAGUGGCGAAGGCGACUACCCGGACGAUAACUGACGCUGAGGCACGAAAKYCUAGUGGUUCAAACAGGAUUAGAUACCCUGGUAGUCCUAGCCCUAA
RNAcentral lists this ribosomal RNA (342 nucleotides) under uncultured Bacillota bacterium. RNAcentral describes it as "bacterial SSU rRNA". It matches the Rfam family "Bacterial small subunit ribosomal RNA", at positions 465 to 805 of the family's 1533-position model. The record is from RNAcentral. Lineage: Bacteria; Bacillati; Bacillota.